AGAAUCAACGCUGGCGGCGUGCCUAACACAUGCAAGUCGAACGAGAAAGUGGAGCAAUCCAUUAGUAAAGUGGCGCACGGGUGAGUAACACGUGACUAACCUACCCUUGAGUGGGGGAUAACCUAGAGAAAUCUGGGCUAAUACCGCAUAAUACCUUCGGGUCAAAGGGGCAAUUCGCUUAAGGAGGGGUCGCGGCCGAUUAGUUAGUUGGCGGGGUAAUGGCCCACCAAGACUAUGAUCGGUAU
RNAcentral lists this ribosomal RNA (245 nucleotides) under uncultured bacterium. Its description in RNAcentral is "partial small subunit ribosomal RNA". It matches the Rfam family "Bacterial small subunit ribosomal RNA", at positions 26 to 286 of the family's 1533-position model. The record is from RNAcentral.